UUUUAUUAGAAUUAAUUAAUAAUAAAUCCUGCUCAAUGAAAAUUAAAUAGCCGCUUUUGUGCUAAGGUAGCAUAAUAAUUUGUCUUUUAAUUAAAGACUAGAACAAAAGGUUUAACAUCUCAAUUAAUAUUUUAUAAAAAACUUUUUAAAUUAUUUUAAUUGUAAAAAAACAAUUUUUAAAAAGAAAGACGAUAAGACCCUAUCGAACUUUACUUUAGUUUAACUGGGGAAGUUAAUUAAUUAUCAUUUUAAUAUAUAAAAAUAUACAAUUUGACCUAAUACUAUUAACAAUAUAAUUAAGUUACCGUAGGGAUAACAGCGUAAUAAAAUUUCUAAGAUCUUAUUUAAAAUAAAGAUUGCGACCUCGAUGUUGAUUUAAUAACCUAAUUAACGCAAUAGUUAAUUAAGGAAGUCUGUUCGACUUUUAAAAAAUUACA
RNAcentral lists this ribosomal RNA (437 nucleotides) under Pardosa pontica. RNAcentral describes it as "partial small subunit ribosomal RNA". Lineage: Eukaryota; Metazoa; Arthropoda; Arachnida; Araneae; Lycosidae. The record is from RNAcentral.